Molecule: ribosomal RNA, 244 nt
Filed under: uncultured Staphylococcus sp.
Lineage: Bacteria; Bacillati; Bacillota; Bacilli; Caryophanales; Staphylococcaceae
Description: partial 16S ribosomal RNA
Rfam family: Bacterial small subunit ribosomal RNA
Source: RNAcentral
CGGCGGACGGGUGAGUAACACGUGGAUAACCUACCUAUAAGACUGGGAUAACUUCGGGAAACCGGAGCUAAUACCGGAUAAUAUAUUGAACCGCAUGGUUCAAUGGUGAAAGACGGUUUUGCUGUCACUUAUAGAUGGAUCCGCGCCGCAUUAGCUAGUUGGUAAGGUAACGGCUUACCAAGGCAACGAUGCGUAGCCGACCUGAGAGGGUGAUCGGCCACGCUGGAACUGAGACACGGUCCAG